This 439-nucleotide ribosomal RNA is filed under the name uncultured bacterium. RNAcentral describes it as "partial 16S ribosomal RNA". It matches the Rfam family "Bacterial small subunit ribosomal RNA", at positions 339 to 795 of the family's 1533-position model. The record is from RNAcentral.
CUACGGGGUGCAGCAGUGGGGAAUAUUGCACAAUGGGGGAAACCCUGAUGCAGCAACGCCGCGUGGAGGAUGACGCAUUUCGGUGUGUAAACUCCUUUUAUAUAGGAAGAUAAUGACGGUACUAUAUGAAUAAGCACCGGCUAACUCCGUGCCAGCAGCCGCGGUAAUACGGAGGGUGCAAGCGUUACUCGGAAUCACUGGGCGUAAAGCGCGCGCAGGCGGCCCCUUAAGUUGGAUGUGAAAGCCUACGGCUUAACCGUAGAACUGCAUCCAAAACUGAGGGGCUAGAGUCUGGGAGGGGAAGAUGGAAUUAGUUGUGUAGGGGUAAAACCCGUAGAGAUAACUAGGAAUACCAAAAGCGAAGGCGAUCUUCUGGAACAGUACUGACGCUGAGGCGCGAAAGCGUGGGGAGCAAACAGGAUUAGAUACCCCAGUAGUC